RNAcentral lists this ribosomal RNA (353 nucleotides) under uncultured bacterium. RNAcentral describes it as "bacterial SSU rRNA". It matches the Rfam family "Bacterial small subunit ribosomal RNA", at positions 917 to 1267 of the family's 1533-position model. The record is from RNAcentral.
GGACCCGCACAAGUAGUGGAGCAUGUGGUUUAAUUCGAAGAUACGCGCAGAACCUUACCAACACUUGACAUGUUCGUCGCGACUCUAAGAGAUUAGAGUUUUCGGUUCGGCCGGACGAAACACAGGUGCUGCAUGGCUGUCGUCAGCUCGUGUCGUGAGAUGUUGGGUUAAGUCCCGCAACGAGCGCAACCCUCACUUUUAGUUGCCAUCAUUAAGUUGGGCACUCUGAAAGAACUGCCAGUGAUAAGCUGGAGGAAGGUGGGGAUGACGUCAAGUCCUCAUGGCCCUUACGUGUUGGGCUACACACGUGCUACAAUGGUAUCUACAACAGGAAGCAAGACUGCGGUGAAUAC